GACGAACGCUGGCGGCGUGCCUAACACAUGCAAGUCGAACGGAGCAGAUCCCUUCGGGGAACACUUAGUGGCGGACUGGUGAGUAACGCGUGAGGAACCUGCCUUUCAGAGGGGGACAACAGUUGGAAACGACUGCUAAUACCGCAUGACACAUUGAGGGGGCAUCCCUUUGAUGUCAAAGAUUUAUCGCUGAAAGAUGGCCUCGCGUCCCAUUAGCUAGUUGGUGGGGUAAAGGCCUACCAAGGCGACGAUCAGUAGCCGAGCUGAGAGGCUCAACGGCCACAUUGGGACUGAGAUACGGCCCAG
RNAcentral lists this ribosomal RNA (306 nucleotides) under uncultured bacterium. RNAcentral's name for it is "bacterial SSU rRNA". It matches the Rfam family "Bacterial small subunit ribosomal RNA", at positions 28 to 334 of the family's 1533-position model. The record is from RNAcentral.